RNAcentral lists this long non-coding RNA (344 nucleotides) under Solanum lycopersicum (tomato). RNAcentral's name for it is "long non-coding RNA (SLYC_LNC001283)". The record is from RNAcentral. Lineage: Eukaryota; Viridiplantae; Streptophyta; Magnoliopsida; Solanales; Solanaceae.
CACCAUAGUUCUCCUCCAUUGGCGGUGGCGGAUAGUUAGUCCGACCAUAAAUAUCAUCCAUCGGUGGCGUAUACUCAGUCCGACCAUAAUUAUCAUCCAUCGGCGGCGGAGGAUAGUGAGGCCGGUCAUAAUUAGGUUCCAUUGGUGGUGGUCCACCUACAUGAGAAGUAUGAAAGACCUGGCCAACUUGAGGAGGAGGUGGUUCAUCGUAGGGUGGUCGGUGGCCGGGAGGUGGAAAUUCUUCUCGACGGUCGUCGUCGUCGUCGCGACGGUGGUGGUGGUGGUGGUGACCGUGGUGGCCAAAAGGAUACUCCAUUGAUAGAUAAAGUAUUAUUAAAUUUUAG